RNAcentral lists this unclassified non-coding RNA (559 nucleotides) under Pteridomyces galzinii. RNAcentral's name for it is "sequence contains ITS1, 5.8S rRNA gene, ITS2, 28S rRNA gene". The stretch from base 190 to 343 matches the Rfam family "5.8S ribosomal RNA". Lineage: Eukaryota; Fungi; Basidiomycota; Agaricomycetes; Atheliales; Atheliaceae. The record is from RNAcentral.
CCUCGCUCCGUCGGCACGGCGUCGAGCGAGCGCUGGGCCGCCCUCCACCCCACACCCCUGUGAACCUUGCGGAGCUUGCAGUACCCCUUCCCGGGUGGAUGACGCACGGUCGUCGGGGGAGGCUCGCUUCCGCCACACACACUCAGUUAACGAACGUCACGGUCCUCAGCGGCCUUUGAUAAACAAUACAACUUUCAACAACGGAUCUCUUGGCUCUCGCAUCGAUGAAGAACGCAGCGAAAUGCGAUAAGUAAUGUGAAUUGCAGAAUUCAGUGAAUCAUCGAAUCUUUGAACGCACCUUGCGCCCUUUGGUAUUCCGAUGGGCAUGCCCGUUCGAGUGUCUUGAAAUCAUCACCCCUCGGAUUCGCGUCCUUGGGUGUGGACUUGGGGGCUUGCUGCCGCAGGGCGGCUCCCCUUAAAAGGAUCGGUUGGGCCCGCAGCGGCUCCGUCCCGGCGUUGUAAUGCAACCGCCUCAAAGGACGAGCCCCGCCUCAGUGCCCUCCCCCGACCCGCCUUUGGAGUGGCGGUCUAUCUUUUGAAAUCUGACCUCGAAUCGGGU